Molecule: unclassified non-coding RNA, 280 nt
Filed under: Hevea brasiliensis (rubber tree)
Lineage: Eukaryota; Viridiplantae; Streptophyta; Magnoliopsida; Malpighiales; Euphorbiaceae
Source: RNAcentral
GAGUACUAACUACGGAACAUUUGCGAUCAGACCAGUAAGAUUGGUGGGUUGGUGCUGGUCUCUUGAUCCAUUUGUUUCUGGACAGCCUUCACAGCUGCAACUCUUGCUGCGUUUGCUGCUUUAUUUGCUGCAGCUACCACUUUGUUAACUCUUUCGUCCACCCUUCCUGCAUCGAACGCUUUCUGUGCAGCUCUUCUUGCUUCCUGGACUGCAGCGAGAACCUUAGCAUGGCUGACAGCAUAAGAAGACCCUGGAUGGCUAUUUUCAAGACUGGGAACAU